CAAUCCUUUCUUUAAGUUGUUGACUAUGCUAAUGGAGUUUGCUGGUGGACCUCCAGGAAUGCCUCCCUUUGCAUCUUAUAUUCUGCAGAGGAUAUGGGAGGUGAUUGAAUACAAUCCUUCUCAGUGUCUAGAUUGGUUGGCAGUGCAGACACCCCGAAAUAAACUGGCACACAGCUGGGUCUUACAGAAUAUGGAAAACUGGGUCGAGCGGUUUCUUUUGGCUCACAAUUAUCCUAGAGUGAGGACUUGUAAGUCAAAUAUUUAGAAUUUCAUAAACCAUUUAUUUAUUGUUCAAAGUUAUGUUUCAUUUUGUUUUUAGGCAACUAUGACAUGCCCAUUGUUGUAUACUACGAAAUUCUUGGAGA
This 365-nucleotide small RNA is filed under the name Pan troglodytes (chimpanzee). Its description in RNAcentral is "retained intron". The record is from RNAcentral. Lineage: Eukaryota; Metazoa; Chordata; Mammalia; Primates; Hominidae.